This 440-nucleotide ribosomal RNA is filed under the name uncultured bacterium. Its description in RNAcentral is "partial 16S ribosomal RNA". It matches the Rfam family "Bacterial small subunit ribosomal RNA", at positions 338 to 795 of the family's 1533-position model. The record is from RNAcentral.
CCUACGGGAGGCAGCAGUGGGGGAUAUUGCACAAUGGGGGAAACCCUGAUGCAGCGAAGCAGCGUGAGUGAAGAAGUAUUUAGGUAUGUAAAGCUCUAUCAGCAGGGAAGAAAAUGACAGUACGUGAACAAGAAGGCCCGGCUAACUACGUGCCAGAAGCCGCGGUAAUAAGUAGGGGGCAAGCGUUAUCCGGAUUUACUGGGUGUAAAGGGAGCGUAGACGGUUAUGUAAGUCUGGUGUGAAAGCCCGGGGCCCAACCCCGGGACUGCCCUUGGAACUGGAUGGCUGGAGUGCGGGAGGGGCAGGCGGAAUUCCUGGUGUAGCGGUGAAAUGCGUAGAUAUCAGGAGGAACACCGGCGGCGAAGGCGGCCUGCUGGACCGCGACUGACGUUGAGGCUCGAAAGCGUGGGGAGCGAACAGGAUUAGAUACCCCAGUAGUC